RNAcentral lists this transfer RNA (74 nucleotides) under Caudoviricetes sp. RNAcentral describes it as "tRNA-Trp". It matches the Rfam family "tRNA". Rfam says of the family: Transfer RNA (tRNA) molecules are approximately 80 nucleotides in length. Their secondary structure includes four short double-helical elements and three loops (D, anti-codon, and T loops). The record is from RNAcentral. Lineage: Duplodnaviria; Heunggongvirae; Uroviricota; Caudoviricetes.
ACCAGGCUCGCUUAACGGAAGAGCGUCGGUCUCCAAAACCGAAUAUCGGGGUUCGACUCCUCGGCCUGGUGCCA